This 407-nucleotide ribosomal RNA is filed under the name uncultured bacterium. Its description in RNAcentral is "partial 16S ribosomal RNA". It matches the Rfam family "Bacterial small subunit ribosomal RNA", at positions 30 to 526 of the family's 1533-position model. The record is from RNAcentral.
AUUGAACGCUGGCGGCAGGCCUAAAACAUGCAAGUCGAGCGGAGCGGCGGACGGGUGAGUAAUGCCUAGGAAUCUGCCUGGUAGUGGGGGAUAACGUCCGGAAACCGGCGCUCAUACCGCAUACUAUCAGAUGAGCCUAGGUCGGGUUGGCUAGUUGGUGGGGGAAAGGCCUACCAAGGCGACGAUCCGUAACUGGUCUGAGAGGAUGAUCAGUCACACUGGAACUGAGACCCGGGCCAGACUCCUACGGGAGGCAGCAGUGGGGAAUAUUGGACAGUGGGCGGAAGCCUGUGCCAGCCAUGCCGCGUGUGUGAAGAAGGUCUUCGGAUUGUAAAGCACUUUAAGUUGGGAGGCGUUACCGACAGAAUAAGCACCGGCUAACUUCGUGCCAGCAGCCGCGGUAAUUC